UAGGGAAUCUUCCGCAAUGGGCGAAAGCCUGACGGAGCAACGCCGCGUGAGUGAUGAAGGUCUUCGGAUCGUAAAACUCUGUUAUUAGGGAAGAACAUAUGUGUAAGUAACUGUGCACAUCUUGACGGUACCUAAUCAGAAAGCCACGGCUAACUACGUGCCAGCAGCCGCGGUAAUACGUAGGUGGCAAGCGUUAUCCGGAAUUAUUGGGCGUAAAGCGCGCGUAGGCGGUUUUUUAAGUCUGAUGUGAAAGCCCACGGCUCAACCGUGGAGGGUCAUUGGAAACUGGAAAACUUGAGUGCAGAAGAGGAAAGUGGAAUUCCAUGUGUAGCGGUGAAAUGCGCAGAGAUAUGGAGGAACACCAGUGGCGAAGGCGACUUUCUGGUCUGUAACUGACGCUGAUGUGCGAAAGCGUGGGGAUCAAACAGGAUUAGAUACCCUGGUAGUCCACGCCGUAAACGAUGAGUGCUAAGUGUUA
This 478-nucleotide ribosomal RNA is filed under the name Xanthomonas citri pv. citri. Its description in RNAcentral is "bacterial SSU rRNA". It matches the Rfam family "Bacterial small subunit ribosomal RNA", at positions 355 to 825 of the family's 1533-position model. Lineage: Bacteria; Pseudomonadati; Pseudomonadota; Gammaproteobacteria; Lysobacterales; Lysobacteraceae. The record is from RNAcentral.